GCUGACGAGUGGCGGACGGGUGAGUAAUGUCUGGGAAACUGCCUGAUGGAGGGGGAUAACUACUGGAAACGGUAGCUAAUACCGCAUAACGUCGCAAGACCAAAGAGGGGGACCUUCGGGCCUCUUGCCAUCGGAUGUGCCCAGAUGGGAUUAGCUUGUUGGUGGGGUAACGGCUCACCAAGGCGACGAUCCCUAGCUGGUCUGAGAGGAUGACCAGCCACACUGGAACUGAGACACGGUCCAGACUCCUACGGGAGGCAGCAGUGGGGAAUAUUGCACAAUGGGCGCAAGCCUGAUGCAGCCAUGCCGCGUGUAUGAAGAAGGCCUUCGGGUUGUAAAGUACUUUCAGCGGGGAGGAAGGGAGUAAAGUUAAUACCUUUACUCAUUGACGUUACCCGCAGAAGAAGCACCGGCUAACUCCGUGCCAGCAGCCGCGGUAAUACGGAGGGUGCAAGCGUUAAUCGGAAUUACUGGGCGUAAAGCGCACGCAGGCGGUUUGUUAAGUCAGAUGUGAAAUCCCCGGGCUCAACCUGGGAACUGCAUCUGAUACUGGCAAGCUUGAGUCUCGUAGAGGGGGGUAGAAUUCCAGGUGUAGCGGUGAAAUGCGUAGAGAUCUGGAGGAAUACCGGUGGCGAAGGCGGCCCCCUGGACGAAGACUGACGCUCAGGUGCGAAAGCGUGGGGAGCAAACAGGAUUAGAUACCCUGGUAGUCCACGCCGUAAACGAUGUCGACUUGGAGGUUGUGCCCUUGAGGCGUGGCUUCCGGAGCUAACGCGUUAAGUCGACCGCCUGGGGAGUACGGCCGCAAGGUUAAAACUCAAAUGAAUUGACGGGGGCCCGCACAAGCGGUGGAGCAUGUGGUUUAAUUCGAUGCAACGCGAAGAACCUUACCUGGUCUUGACAUCCACGGAAGUUUUCAGAGAUGAGAAUGUGCCUUCGGGAACCGUGAGACAGGUGCUGCAUGGCUGUCGUCAGCUCGUGUUGUGAAAUGUUGGGUUAAGUCCCGCAACGAGCGCAACCCUUAUCCUUUGUUGCCAGCGGUCCGGCCGGGAACUCAAAGGAGACUGCCAGUGAUAAACUGGAGGAAGGUGGGGAUGACGUCAAGUCAUCAUGGCCCUUACGACCAGGGCUACACACGUGCUACAAUGGCGCAUACAAAGAGAAGCGACCUCGCGAGAGCAAGCGGACCUCAUAAAGUGCGUCGUAGUCCGGAUUGGAGUCUGCAACUCGACUCCAUGAAGUCGGAAUCGCUAGUAAUCGUGGAUCAGAAUGCCACGGUGAAUACGUUCCCGGGCCUUGUACACACCGCCCGUCACACCAUGGGAGUGGGUUGCAAAAGAAGUAGGUAGCUUAACCUUCGGGAGGGCGCUUACCACUUUGUGAUUCAUGACUGGGGUGAAGUCGUAACAAGGUAACCGUAGGGGAACCUGCGGUUGGAUCACCUCCUUACCUUAAAGAAGC
Molecule: ribosomal RNA, 1461 nt
Filed under: Escherichia coli
Lineage: Bacteria; Pseudomonadati; Pseudomonadota; Gammaproteobacteria; Enterobacterales; Enterobacteriaceae
Description: bacterial SSU rRNA
Rfam family: Bacterial small subunit ribosomal RNA
Source: RNAcentral